This 468-nucleotide ribosomal RNA is filed under the name uncultured bacterium. RNAcentral describes it as "partial 16S ribosomal RNA". It matches the Rfam family "Bacterial small subunit ribosomal RNA", at positions 28 to 507 of the family's 1533-position model. The record is from RNAcentral.
GAUGAACGCUGGCGGCGUGCUUAACACAUGCAAGUCGAACGGAAAGGUCCUGCUCUUGUGGCGUGCUCGAUUGGCGAGCGGGUGAGUAACACGCGAGUAACCUGCCCUUGACUUUGGGAUAACUUCUGGAAAAUCGGGCUCAUACCGGAUAGGAGCUCCUGCUGCAUGGUGGGGGAUGGAAAGUUUCGGCGGUUGGGGCUGGACUCGAGGCUUAUCAGCUUGUUGGGGGAGUAGUGGCUUACCAAGGCUUUGACGGGUAGCCGGCCUGAGAGGGUGAACGGCCACAAUGCGACUGCGAGACGGAGCAGACUCCAACGGGAGGCAGCAGUGGGGAAUAUUGCACAAUGGGCGGAAGCCUGAGGCGACAACGCCGCGAGCGUGAUGACGGCCUUCGGGUUGUAAACCGAUUUCGACUGUGACGAAGCGUGAGUGACGGUAAUGGGUAAAGAAGCACCGGCUAACUACGUG